Molecule: non-coding RNA, 118 nt
Organism: Cryphonectria parasitica EP155
Lineage: Eukaryota; Fungi; Ascomycota; Sordariomycetes; Diaporthales; Cryphonectriaceae
Source: the annotation of a RefSeq genome assembly
GUCUGCCUAGUAUAAUGGUCAGUAUAUUUCGUUGUGGCCUUGAAAAUAGCAUUAUGUACUAUCUUGCUACCUCAAAACCAGCUCCGAAAAGAUCCAUGUUCGAUUCAUGGGGCAGACA